ACAUGUCUCAGGAUCUGGAGUUGCGGCCGUGGCGGUGGCAGCUUCCACCAGCGCGGAGCAGGUGGCGGCAGAGGAAGCGGCAGCCGAGGAGGCCUUCACGACUUCUGCUCCCUGCCACCCGGCAUGGGCCUCAACCAGAACCGCGACCCCAUGGGUCCCGGCGUGGGCCAGGGAGGCUCCAAGCCUCUGAUCCUGCCGUGGCCUCUGCAUCAUCAUCAUCAGCAGCAGCAGCAGCAGCAGGAGCAGCAGCAGCAGCAGCAGCAGCCGCCGCCACUGCACCAGCCGCCACCCACCAGCAGCCUCCGCCACUGCAAGACUCAUCUAAGCCCGUCAUUGUUCAGGGACUUGGCUCCACUCCAGGAGUAGGCAGCAAGUCGCCAGCCUUUGGCUUGGCCCCGCCCACCACCCCUCUGACCUCCAAGGCCCCUCCAGGGCUGGGGUCAGGUCUGACUCCAACCCAACCCACUGCCUGCCGUCACUUCAGCCCCUCCCGGGGAGCCUUCCCCCCUCCCCCCACUCCUCCGAGUGGCGGGAUCACGACCAUUCCCCCUCAGGCCGGAGGCCCACUGCCUCCACCCGCGGGUGUUCUGGGACUGGGGCCUAAGCAAGGUCCAGGCCCCGGUGACCCCAAAUGUAGCAAAAUGCCUGGCGGUCCGAAGCCCGGGGCGGCCCAGGCCUAAGCACUCCUGGCGGCCACCCCAAGCUGCCGCAUCGGGGUGGCGGGAAGCCCUGCGGGGCCACCAGCACCACCUGCCCUACCACCAGCAGUACCACCAGGGUCCCCUGCCCAGUGGCCGCAGCGAGGAAAAGAUCUCAACUUGGAGGGAUUUAAAGCCAAUUUGUCUCUCUUGAGGAGGUCUAAUGAGAAAACUUACAACGCUGUCAGUUGUUUGUUGGGAAUCUACCUGCUGACAUGACAGAGGAUGAAUUCAAAAGACUGUUUGCUAAAUAUGGAGAACCAGGAGAAGUUUUUAUCAACAAAGGCAAAGGAUUCGGUUUUAUUAAGCUUGAAUCUAGAGCAUUGGCUGAAAUUGUCAAAGCUGAACUCGAUGCUACACCCAUGAGAGGUAGACAGCUUCAGGUCUGCUUUGCCACACAUGCUGCUGCCCUUUCUGUUAGUAAUCUUUCAACUUAUGUUUCCAAUGAGCUUUUGGAAGAAGCUUUUAGCCACUUUGGUCCUAUUGAAAGGGCUGUUAUAAUUGUGGAUGAUCGUGGAAGAUCUACAGGGAAAGGCAUUGUUGAUUUGCUUCAAAACCAGCAGCAAGAAAGACAUUUGAACGAUGCAGUGAAGGUGUUUUCUUGUUGACAACAACUCCUAGUCCAGUCAUUGUGGAACCACUUGAACAAUUCAGAGAUGAUGAAGAUGGUCUUCCUGAAAAACUUGCACAGAAGAAUCCAGUAUCAAAAGGAGAGGGAAACUCCUUCUUGCUUUGCCCAGCAUGGUACAUUUGAGUAUGAAUAUUCUCAGCGAUGGAAGUCCUUAGAUGAGAUGGAAAAACAGCAAAGGGAACAAGUUGAAAAAAGCAUGAAGGAUGCAAAAGACAAAUUGGGAAGUGAAAUGGAAGAUGCCUAUCAUGAACAUCAGGCAAAUCUUUUGCACCAAGAUUUGAUGAGACAACAGGAAGAAUUGAGACACAUGAAAGAACUUCAUAAUCAAGAAAUGCAGAAACGUAAAGAAAUGCAGUUGAGGCAAGAAGAGGAACGACAUAGAAGGGAGGAAGAGAUGAUUCAUCAAUGUGAGAUGGAAAGACGCCAAAGAAAGGAAAGUUAUACCCGGAUGGGCUACAUGGAUCCAAGAGAAAGAGACAUGAGAAUGGGUGGCGGAGGAGCAAUGAACAUGGGAGAUCCCUAUGGUUCAGGAGGCCAGAAAUUUCCACCUCUAGGUGGUGGCGGCAUAGGUUACGAAGCUAAUCCUGGAGUUCCACCAGCAACCAUGAGUGGUUCCAUUAUGGGAAGUGAUAUGCGUACUGAGCGCUUUGGGCAGGGAGGUGCGAAACCUGUGGGUGGACAGGGCCCUAGAGGAAUGGGACCUGGAACUCCAGCAGGAUAUGGUAGAGGGAGAGAAGAAUAUAAAGGUCUGAACAAAAAAAUCCCAAUUUUAGAUGUGAUAAUCUAG
This is an RNA transcript of Carlito syrichta (Philippine tarsier), 2116 nucleotides long. It is a transcript of the gene named splicing factor, proline- and glutamine-rich pseudogene, with no coding region annotated. NCBI's taxonomy places the organism in Eukaryota, Metazoa, Chordata, Mammalia, Primates, Tarsiidae. The record is from RefSeq and is a predicted model, not a curated record. The transcript has 2 exons.